This 216-nucleotide ribosomal RNA is filed under the name Glomeromycotina sp. Its description in RNAcentral is "partial small subunit ribosomal RNA". The stretch from base 40 to 216 matches the Rfam family "Eukaryotic small subunit ribosomal RNA", at positions 686 to 864 of the family's 1831-position model. The record is from RNAcentral. Lineage: Eukaryota; Fungi; Glomeromycota.
GGGUCAGUAGGUUGGUCGUGCCACCGGUACGUACUGGUCUCACUGAUUCCUCCUUCCUGAAGAACCGUAAUGCCAUUAAUUUGGUGUUGCGGGGAAACAGGACUGUUACUUUGAAAAAAUUAGAGUGUUUAAAGCAAGCUAACGCUUGAAUACAUUAGCAUGGAAUAAUGAAAUAGGACAAUCGAUCCUAUUUUGUUGGUUUCUAGGAUUGACGUA